UUCUCAGAGUUUUAAGUACGAAUCAUCUAGAAAAUGUGUUAAUGCUGCUUCUUGUGUAUAAAUAAUCUCUUUUGAUUGGUUGCCGGUGGGGCCCAGGAAUCUGCAUUUUAGCUAGCCCCACGGUUUGUUAUUAUU
This 135-nucleotide microRNA precursor is filed under the name Ovis aries (sheep). RNAcentral describes it as "miRNA (ENSOARG00000022325.1)". The record is from RNAcentral. Lineage: Eukaryota; Metazoa; Chordata; Mammalia; Artiodactyla; Bovidae.